AUUGGCAGGACUUCGUUGGUAUUGUCGUCCUCCUUGUCAUCAACUCCACAAUCAGUUUCAUUGAAGAAAACAAUGCUGGCAAUGCUGCUGCAGCUCUCAUGGCUGGGCUUGCCCCCAAAACGAAGGUUCUUCGAGAUGGCCGAUGGAGUGAGCAGGAAGCUGCAGUCCUAGUGCCAGGAGACAUCAUCAGCAUCAAACUGGGGGAUAUCGUCCCUGCUGAUGCUCGCCUUCUCCAGGGAGACCCGUUGAAGAUCGAUCAGUCUGCCCUUACAGGGGAGUCUCUGCCUGUCACGAAGAACCCAGGUGAUGAAGUCUUUUCUGGCUCGACCUGCAAGCAGGGAGAGAUCGAGGCAGUCGUCAUCGCCACUGGAGUCCAUACCUUCUUUGGCAAGGCAGCCCACUUGGUCGAUAGCACGAACCAGGUCGGCCAUUUCCA
This 436-nucleotide unclassified non-coding RNA is filed under the name Hevea brasiliensis (rubber tree). The record is from RNAcentral. Lineage: Eukaryota; Viridiplantae; Streptophyta; Magnoliopsida; Malpighiales; Euphorbiaceae.